This 207-nucleotide ribosomal RNA is filed under the name uncultured bacterium. RNAcentral's name for it is "partial 16S ribosomal RNA". It matches the Rfam family "Bacterial small subunit ribosomal RNA", at positions 568 to 774 of the family's 1533-position model. The record is from RNAcentral.
CGUGUAGGCGGUUGGUCAAGUCUGGUGUGAAAGCCCGGGGCUCAGCUCCGGAAGGGCAUCGGAAACUAGCCAGCUGGAGCGCGAUAGAGGAGGGCGGAAUUCCUGGUGUAGCGGUGAAAUGCGUAGAUAUCAGGAGGAGCACCGGCGGCGAAGGCGGCCCUCUGGAUCGUUGCUGACGCUGAGACGCGAAAGCGUGGGGAGCAAACA